CUACGGGCUGCUCCAGUGGGGAAUAUUGCACAAUGGGCGCAAGCCUGAUGCAGCCAUGCCGCGUGUAUGAAGAAGGCCUUCGGGUUGUAAAGUACUUUCAGCGGGGAGGAAGGGAGUAAAGUUAAUACCUUUGCUCAUUGACGUUACCCGCAGAAGAAGCACCGGCGAACUCCGUGCCAGCAGCCGCGGUAAUACGGAGGGUGCACGCGUUAAUCGGAAUUACUGGGCGUAAAGCGCACGCAGGCGGUUUGUUAAGUCAGAUGUGAAAUCCCCGGGCUCAACCUGGGAACUGCAUCUGAUACUGGCAAGCUUGAGUCUCGUAGAGGGGGGUAGAAUUCCAGGUGUAGCGGUGAAAUGCGUAGAGAUCUGGAGGAAUACCGGUGGCGAAGGCGGCCCCCUGGACGAAGACUGACGCUCAGGUGCGAAAGCGUGGGGAGCAAACAGGAUUAGAUACCCGCGUAGUC
This 464-nucleotide ribosomal RNA is filed under the name uncultured bacterium. RNAcentral describes it as "partial 16S ribosomal RNA". It matches the Rfam family "Bacterial small subunit ribosomal RNA", at positions 339 to 795 of the family's 1533-position model. The record is from RNAcentral.